This 992-nucleotide unclassified non-coding RNA is filed under the name Hevea brasiliensis (rubber tree). The record is from RNAcentral. Lineage: Eukaryota; Viridiplantae; Streptophyta; Magnoliopsida; Malpighiales; Euphorbiaceae.
UGUUGUUAUAUGCUUCACUUCAGGUAUAUGUGUUUCCACUUUCAGGUUCUUGUUCAAUACUACAUGCACAAAGUAAUUUGAAGGAGAAGUGAUGGUCAGUAAGAUAUUCCUUAGAGAAGCUGUCUUCAUUUGGAAAACGAUUUAAAUUACAGAAGACAGUAUGGAACAAAACAAAUCUCCUAUUUAGCAAUAAUUUAUUCUUUUGAUAAGUUUUGUCUGCUAAUGCAUAUUUCUACUAAAUCUAGAUAGAGAAACUGUACUUCCAUUGAAGGAAUAUAGUAAAGGUUCUGCUACUAGGAAGUAGGAACUAGGAUGAAGGAAGACUGCCCUGCUUAUUUCUUUUUGCAUUAUAGAACUCCCAUUUCUUCCUUUACAAUUUAUUGAGCCUUAUCAGGGAUGGUGUAAAAGAGAACUUUUUUUGAAUUGAGAUCUCAUAAGUUCCAGUAGUGUAAAGGGUUUCCCCAAAUCCUGUUGCCCUUAUUGGUUUUCUCAACCAUCUGUAAGCAACAGGCACUAAAAAAAGUCAUAGAAAGUAAUUAACUUUACUAAAAGAAAAAAAAAAAACUGAAAAAUGUGUCAUGAUAGGAUGGGAACUACUAGUAUCUCAACCGUAAAUAUGUUGGAGGCACAGCUUUAAAUUUUUUCUUUUGAGCUAAACUUGGCCACUCUUGUUUGGGAGUCUAAAAACUUAGUAGGAUUUAAUUAGUCGUUGAAAACUACCAAUAGAGCUUAUACAAAAUGCUUUUCUUUCAACAUUUCCUUCUCCUCAAAUCACCUUGAUACUUAAAGAGUCACUUCAAAAGCAUGCUACAAAGUUACGAAACAGAAACAAUUUAAAUACUUUGAAUGAAACAAGUAAUUAUUUUUUAGCCAUUUUUCUUUCAGAUUCCUCACGUUUAAAACCUUAAUUGGUAAAAAAAAAUUCCACCAGUCUUAUUAUUAUUUUGGCUUUAUUGCUUUAUGGCUGUAGGAACCACUGGAAGGCCAAAGGG